Odontomachus brunneus is the source of this 3946-nucleotide long non-coding RNA. RefSeq lists it as uncharacterized. The record is from RefSeq and is a predicted model, not a curated record. The transcript is spliced from 2 exons. NCBI's taxonomy places the organism in Eukaryota, Metazoa, Arthropoda, Insecta, Hymenoptera, Formicidae.
AGAAACGAUAUUGUCAUUUGUUUCUCCAGGACUCCUUAAUAAUGUUAUUUACAAAUUGUAAUGCUGUAGCUGUGAAGCCUCAUAUGUUGGACAAACGAGCAGAAAACUCUCUACGCGUAUUUCUGAGCAUAGGAGAAUUCCUAUGAGAUCUAUCGCGGAUUUGACGGCCGUCCAGGAACAUUGUUUAAGUGAAGUUUGAUUGAUUGGGAACAUGUAAAGAUUUUACAUAAGGAACGUUUUUACUUAAAACAUCUAAUAGCAGAAAUGAUUUUCAUCAGAUUAUAAAAACAAGGACUAAAUUCGCAAAAUGACAUUGAAUAUUUAGGCAACAGCUAUUAUUUAUUUUGAUGAAUCUCUUUUUGUCUCUUUUUCUUGCACGUUCGCGUACAAUUUCGACUUUUAUUUCAAUUAUUUCGACUUUUGUGUAUAUAAAUCUUUUCUUGUGCUUAUACCGAGACUUGGCGAUAUUACCGUCGACAAUACUGUUUCUGCCUUAUUGUUGGGCCUCUACAAUUUGUCCAAGGAUUGAGAUCUAAAAUCGAGAACAUCGGUAUAAGCUCGAAUACUGUUGGCUCCGUUUGCAUUCGAUCGCAUGAUAAAGAAUUUCGGACUCGCUCACCUUUUAAUGGAUUGCAGCCACUCUUUGAACUGAGUAUUUCCUUCAGGAUUGAUCUGGAAAGCAGCCCGGGCCGCGCAUACAACACUAGCGAACUCUUCGUAAUCGCUAGACGUUAAGUGAUACAAUUUUUGAUGCAUACACUGAAUAUACCUGAAAUCAAGAAUAUACAAAGUGUUAUUUGGCGCUGACUGGAAAAGGCAGAGCCUCUGACUUAAAAGGUAACUCUAAUCUGUUACUCGGUCUUUGUUCUGAUAAAGAACAAUACUAACAUCUGUUGGCACUUGUGUACUAGCGGCGCCAAUAAGGCAGAUCUCAAGUGCUGCAAAAUGAGCGCCGGAUUGUUUCUAGCAAGAUAUUGAGCCGCUUCCAGAGCGACAUGAUGGAGAACGAAGGGACUGACGAUACUGUUCACAGCGCAGAUACAGAGCUGAUGCAUAUAUUGUGUACCGAGACGCUUCGCGACUCUGAGCAGGAAUUUGACAUCUUCGCCAUACGGUGGAUUUCGAGCAUACUUAGCCUGAGGUCGGUCGUCGUGUACUCUACGAGCCAAAGUCUCUAAAGCUAACAUUCCCACACGAUAGGCAGAGACGAGUGUCCGCAAAUGUUGCUGACUGAACGGUUGAUUUUGCCUAUGCACCUGCGACAACAAAUUUAACAUUUUUAUUUGUACCACAAGACGCACACACGAAGUUAAUCUUAUACUUUUAUUGUACUAUGGAAAUUACCUGAGGUUGAGUUCUUACAGUCGAUAUUAUAGGUUGUGUUUGGACCAACGGCGGCCCGGGUAAGGUAUUCUGUCCUGGGAGAGGACCAGCUACUCCCGCUUGAACCUGAGUGAAAUAUGAGUUAAUGUAACUCUCCAAAAGAAGUGAAAAAACAAGUAACAAGAUAACGCGCUUACAUUAACCGGCAUAGGAUAUAAGUGAUGAGCUCCUGGCGUCGGUGGAGGCUGUGCAGUGUAAUACUGUGGCCCAGGUGGUGGUGGUGCGGGCGGAGGUGGAUGAUGAGGAUGUGGGGGAUGUUGCGGAUGCUGAGGAUGUCCCGGAUGAGGUGGGAACGCGUGGUACAUCUGCAUGUGCGGAGGCGCUGGCGGCAGAGUGACACGAUGAGACGGCAUUGGGCCGCUGAAUGUGGCGAUAGAGUGGUGAGGAUGUACAAAACUGAAGGGGCCUACUGCGUACGGCAUGCCGACUCCUGGAAAAAAAUUGCAAUAACGUAUGUUGAGACAGUUUGACGAUAUUUUUUAUAAGAGCAGAGCGAUUUUCGUUUAUUUUACCUAAAGGUGCCAAAGUUGUAAUUGUUGGAUGAGCGGAGUACGGCUGAGGUGGGGGUUGCGUGCUAGUCACAACAACUGCUUGAGUCGGCCCCGGCAUCAUUUGGUUAUUCGGUAAAUCCACGGGAGGCCCCGGUUCAACUAACAGUACCCCAUUGAGAUCCAAUUGCAAAGGAUCAUGUGGAACUUCAUCCUGCUGGUCACCGCCAGGAUUUCGCUGUUCAAAAAAGAACACGAAGAGAAACGUAUUUAAUAAACUAAUCGACAAACACACAUCACAUCCGCACACCGUCAAGCUUUCAACUUACCCGGAGAAACAACUCGUACCAAUACUUUGCCACUUGGAAAAGCACUUCUGGGUAAACACCACCACCUUUCGCGGUGUUUUCCACUGUGAUGCAGGCUUUCUCCAACAUAGUUUCACUCUGCUCCUUACACUGUAAGAGAAGAAUAAAACAUCGUGUAAUAAUCAAACUAUAUGUAAUUAACAAAAAAUAGAAUGUAAAGUAUAACUCAAUAGCGUCGUGCAUACUUGAGAUAUAGCUCUCUGGAUUUCAUUGGGGUUGAGAGCGUGUGCGUGCGGUAAACAAGAUAAAGCGAGCUCUGCCGCCGCUCUGACCAUAUUCGGGUCGCUUCCUCUCGAAGACUUAUCGGCUAUACUUGCAGCCUCCGGUGGUGUCAAGUGGCCUUCCCAGCUAUCGAUGAGGAACCAGAUAGCUGGGGCUCCGAUUUCCAUCGCCUGGCCUGUUAUCCAGGAUACGUGACUCGAGUAUGUGCGACUGAGCCAAUUUGGACUGACACAAUUAUGCAGACCGAGGGAAUAUAAGCCAAGUUGAAAAGCGCACAUGUGAAGCGCUCUAUGCGGACCAUGAUGAUUCUGACUGGUGGAUGGUUGAUGGAACAAUGAAGUGGAGCUGGUGCCACCAGCCUUCGCCAGGACUGUUUUAGCAAGUUCACACAUGAAAUGUGCGCUCGCUUCCGACGGCUGGUUGGGAAUAGACGGAUAUACUCUUUUACUCUUAUAUCUGGACACAAAAAAGGAAAACAGAGAUAUUAGACACAACUCGUCGCACAACACAUAUAUUUUAUUGGACUGUGUAAUAAGUAAUUUUGGACUUUUCAGGUAAAAUGAAAUAGUUGUUUCAAUAUUAUAGUUUUAUGAAACAAUGUAUGUACAAAGGAUGGUAGAAAACGGUGUAUACAUCGUUAAAAUUGUAAUUUGUCAUAAAAAUACAAUUAUCUUAUUUUACCUAGCAAAAUCCGAAAUUAUUUAACCCAAUAUUAUAGUAUAAUUUGUUUCACAAGCACAUACCGUUCUUUAGUUCUAAUAGGCACAGAUGGCUGAACAAUCUGCGGUUGUAUAGUCAGCGCACUCAUACCACUCUCUAGCUCUGCGCUGGUGCUGCUGUGAGGUCUACUGCUACCGCCGACGAUAUUAUCAGCAUUCCCACCGUUAUCCGUCCCGGCAAGAGGCGACGAGCGUUCAUCAUCGUGAACACAUCUUGACAUCUACGAUUUUUACGAGAACGACGUUAAAAAUCACACGAGAACACUUCAUAUUAUAAGAGAACCACAGUUUUUCUUGUGAUCUUCUCACCUCGCUUUUAGUAGGUGGAUUGGAGGUAUAAUAGCUACUGAGAAUGGGUGAUUUGAUUAGUUGAUGCACAUCUCGGUCGAGUAAUUUGUCCAUGAUUCUAGCCAAUUUGACAGGAUCGUCUUUGUAAUGAACGAGUAAAGUAAUAGCCAACUCCCCUCUGAGAAAGAAAGAAAUUGCGUGUUUUUAUCUAUAUUAUCACGCAUACACACAAACGCACGCUAAUAUUAACAAAAGUUACCUCUGUCUACGUGUUCCUUCGCAAAGAAGUGGAUGAUCCGCUUCGCUCACAUUCGCCUUUAAUCCCAAGACAGCUACGGCCGCGUCAAAUCCGAGAUUCGGAUCGAUCUCUGCCGGCAAUUUCACUCCUAAGAAGCAUUCCAUCUUAAUUUUUCUAUCAACCUUAUAGAUUGACCUGAUUGAUUGACCUUAUGAUUUAAUAAACAAAUUUUUAAUUAAA